CCUACGGGUGGCAGCAGUGAGGAAUAUUGGUCAAUGGACGAGAGUCUGAACCAGCCAAGUAGCGUGAAGGAUGACUGCCCUAUGGGUUGUAAACUUCUUUUAUAUGGGAAUAGAAUGUUCCACGUGUGGGAUUUUGUAUGUACCAUAUGAAUAAGGAUCGGCUAACUCCGUGCCAGCAGCCGCGGUAAUACGGAGGAUCCGAGCGUUAUCCGGAUUUAUUGGGUUUAAAGGGAGCGUAGGUGGAUUGUUAAGUCAGUUGUGAAAGUUUGCGGCUCAACCGUAAAAUUGCAGUUGAAACUGGCAGUCUUGAGUACAGUAGAGGUGGGCGGAAUUCGUGGUGUAGCGGUGAAAUGCUUAGAUAUCACGAAGAACUCCGAUUGCGAAGGCAGUUCACUGGACUGUAACUGACACUGAGGCUCGAAAGUGUGGGUAUCAAACAGGAUUAGAUACCCUGGUAGUC
RNAcentral lists this ribosomal RNA (460 nucleotides) under uncultured bacterium. Its description in RNAcentral is "partial 16S ribosomal RNA". It matches the Rfam family "Bacterial small subunit ribosomal RNA", at positions 338 to 795 of the family's 1533-position model. The record is from RNAcentral.